CUUUAUAGCUUGCUAUGAAGAAUAAUUAGUGGCAGACGGGUGAGUAAUGCAUAGGAAUCUACCUAGUAGUAUGGGAUAGCCACUAGAAAUGGUGGGUAAUACUGUAUAAUCCCUGCGGGGGAAAGAUUUAUCGCUAUUAGAUGAGCCUAUGUUAGAUUAGCUAGUUGGUAGGGUAAAGGCCUACCAAGGCGAUGAUCUAUAGCUGGUCUGAGAGGAUGAUCAGCCACACUGGAACUGAGAUACGGUCCAGACUCCUACGGGAGGCAGCAGUGGGGAAUAUUGGACAAUGGGCGCAAGCCUGAUCCAGCUAUGCCGCGUGAGUGAGGAAGGCCUUAGGGUUGUAAAACUCUUUCAGUAGGGAAGAUAAUGACGGUACCUACAGAAGAAGUCCCGGCAAACUCCGUGCCAGCAGCCGCGGUAAUACGGAGGGGGCAAGCGUUGUUCGGAAUUAUUGGGCGUAAAGGGCAUGUAGGCGGUUCGGUAAGUUAAAGGUGAAAUGCCAGGGCUUAACCCUGGAGCUGCUU
This 524-nucleotide ribosomal RNA is filed under the name Anaplasma phagocytophilum. Its description in RNAcentral is "bacterial SSU rRNA". It matches the Rfam family "Bacterial small subunit ribosomal RNA", at positions 71 to 626 of the family's 1533-position model. The record is from RNAcentral. Lineage: Bacteria; Pseudomonadati; Pseudomonadota; Alphaproteobacteria; Rickettsiales; Anaplasmataceae.